Molecule: ribosomal RNA, 474 nt
Filed under: uncultured bacterium
Lineage: Bacteria
Description: partial 16S ribosomal RNA
Rfam family: Bacterial small subunit ribosomal RNA
Source: RNAcentral
GAUGAACGCUAGCGGCAGGCCUAUCACAUGCAAGUCGAGGGAGGAGCUUUCGGGCUUCGACCGGCGUACGGGUGCGUAACGCGUAUACAAUCUGCCUUUCACAUAGGGAUAGCCCGAAGAAAUUUGGAUUAAUACCUAAUGGUAUAUAGGAGUGGCAUCACAUUUAUAUUAAAGCUGAGGCGGUGAAAGAUGAGUAUGCGUUCUAUUAGCUAGUUGGAGAGGUAACGGCUCCCCAAGGCGACGAUAGAUAGGGGUUCUGAGAGGGAUAUCCCCCACACUGGUACUGAGAUACGGACCAGACUCCUACGGGAGGCAGCAGUGAGGAAUAUUGGACAAUGGUCGGAAGACUGAUCCAGCCAUGCCGCGUGCAGGAAGACGGCCUUAUGGGUUGUAAACUGCUUUUGCAGGGGAAGAAUAAGGACUACGAGUAGUUUGAUGACGGUACUCUGCGAAUAAGCAUCGGCUAACUCCGUG